RNAcentral lists this ribosomal RNA (402 nucleotides) under bacterium. RNAcentral's name for it is "partial 16S ribosomal RNA". It matches the Rfam family "Bacterial small subunit ribosomal RNA", at positions 355 to 776 of the family's 1533-position model. The record is from RNAcentral.
UGGGGAAUUUUGCACAAUGGGGGAAACCCUGAUGCAGCGACGCCGCGUGAUUUAGAAGGCCUUCGGGUUGUAAAAAUCUUUUUUACGGGAUGAAAAUGACAGUACCGUAAGAAUAAGGUCCGGCUAAAUACGUGCCAGCAGCCGCGGUAAUACGUAUGGACCGAGCGUUGUCCGGAAUCAUUGGGCGUAAAGGGUACGUAGGCGGCCUAGUAAGUUAGAAGUGAAAUAAUAUAGCUCAACUAUAUAAAGCUUUUAAAACUGCUAGGCUUGAGAGAUGGAAGAGAAAGUGGAAUUCCUAGUGUAGCGGUGAAAUGCGCAGAUAUUAGGAAGAAUACCGGUGGCGAAGGCGACUUUCUGGUCAUCAUCUGACGCUGAGGUACGAAAGCGUGGGUAGCAAACAGG